RNAcentral lists this ribosomal RNA (429 nucleotides) under Bacteroidota bacterium. Its description in RNAcentral is "Bacteroidetes bacterium partial 16S ribosomal RNA". It matches the Rfam family "Bacterial small subunit ribosomal RNA", at positions 355 to 776 of the family's 1533-position model. Lineage: Bacteria; Pseudomonadati; Bacteroidota. The record is from RNAcentral. RNAcentral also lists the same sequence under 1 other name.
UAGGGAAUCUUCGGCAAUGGGGGGAACCCUGACCGAGCAACGCCGCGUGAGUGAAGAAGGUUUUCGGAUCGUAAAGCUCUGUUGUUAAGGAAGAACGAGUGUGAGAAUGGAAAGUUCAUGCUGUGACGGUACUUAACCAGAAAGGGACGGCUAACUACGUGCCAGCAGCCGCGGUAAUACGUAGGUCCCGAGCGUUGUCCGGAUUUAUUGGGCGUAAAGCGAGCGCAGGCGGUUAGAAAAGUCUGAAGUGAAAGGCAGUGGCUCAACCAUUGUAGGCUUUGGAAACUGUUUAACUUUAGUGCAGAAGGGGAGAGUGGAAUUCCAUGUGUAGCGGUGAAAUGCGUAGAUAUAUGGAGGAACACCGGUGGCGAAAGCGGCUCUCUGGUCUGUAACUGACGCUGAGGCUCGAAAGCGUGGGGAGCGAACAGG